GACGAACGCUGGCGGCGUGCUUAACACAUGCAAGUCGAACGGAAACGCCCUGCUAUUGUGGGGUGCUCGAGUGGCGAACGGGUGAGUAACACGUGAGUAACCUGCUCUUGAUUUUGGGAUAACUUCAGGAAACUGGGCUUAAUCCAGGACAGCAGCCCCCCUACCUGUGAGGGGAUGGGAACUUUUGGGCGGUUGGGGUUGGACGCGCGGCUUACCAGUUAGUUGGUGGGCUAGGGGCUUACCAAGGCUUUCACGGAUCCCCGGCUGGUGAGGGUGACCGGCCUCAUGAGUACUGAGAUACGGCGCAGACUCCUACGGGAGGCAGCAGUGGGGAAUAUGGCACAAUGGUCGGAAGCCUGAUGCAGCAACCCCGCGUGCGUGAUGACGGCCUUCGGGUUGUAAACCGCAUUCGCCUGUGACGAAGCGUGAGUGACGGUAAUGGGUGAAGAAGCACCGGCUAACUACGUG
This 468-nucleotide ribosomal RNA is filed under the name uncultured bacterium. Its description in RNAcentral is "partial 16S ribosomal RNA". It matches the Rfam family "Bacterial small subunit ribosomal RNA", at positions 28 to 507 of the family's 1533-position model. The record is from RNAcentral.